UUUCUUUUCUUUUCUUUUUGUUUCUAGCAAAUGUUCUUUAUGCAGCCGCUUAUACCUUGUCUACAAAUCGCUGAAGCUCAAGGCGCAUAUGCAAUGUAUUUAUGCAUCAGGAACUGAAGAGCGUGACCUUGUUCGGCCCGCUGCCAAACUUUAGUUCGAUCGCAAGGCCAGAGGGAGAACGUCGAGCCACUUUCCUGGUGUGCAAGAUCAGCCUCAGCGCACCCGCGUCCCUGCAAAGUACCCGCUUCUAACGGCCAGCAGCGAUCAUCGUAGCCGCAUGCCAAGACUUUGUCGAGAAGAACUGUGCCGCGGCCAAUGAGGUUAUCGUAGAGCGAGUGGUCGUUCCGAACCUCCACACUGAUCUCCUGGCACCCCGCGAUCACUAACGCCACG
Long non-coding RNA from Selaginella moellendorffii, 393 nucleotides. RefSeq lists it as uncharacterized. NCBI's taxonomy places the organism in Eukaryota, Viridiplantae, Streptophyta, Lycopodiopsida, Selaginellales, Selaginellaceae. The record is from RefSeq and is a predicted model, not a curated record. The transcript is spliced from 4 exons.